This 1459-nucleotide long non-coding RNA is filed under the name Cucumis sativus (cucumber). Its description in RNAcentral is "long non-coding RNA (CSAT_LNC001894)". The record is from RNAcentral. Lineage: Eukaryota; Viridiplantae; Streptophyta; Magnoliopsida; Cucurbitales; Cucurbitaceae.
UGUAUUUAAAAAAGAAAAAGAAAAAAAAGAAAUUGCAACAGUGAAGAAAAAUGAAUUAUAAAAAAGAAAAAAAGGUGAACAAGGUGGAUUAUUGAUGGGUAGGAUCCGUGAUUGGAGCUUGAAUAAUGUCGUUCUUUAGUUUGACAAGUUUAGACACCAACUUAGAUUUGAAUAAGAAGGCCUGAUGUUCAAGAUUGAACAAACGGUCAAUAUCCUUCUUGGCUGCGUCCUGAAAAGAUGGGUUAAAUAGUUUUACAUCAAGCUCUUUACUUUCAAAAAAAUCUUCAUAAUAAUUCCUUCUGCAUACCUCCAACACUUUAGAGAUAGAAGCCCUUUCAGUUUCAUCAACUUUACCCCAAACUUCAUUUGAUAACUCAAAACCCUCGUCUCUCUUGUUAUUAAAAUCAUCAUCAUCCUCCAUUUUCACAUUUCGUUUUCUCAUUUUUCUCAACUCUAAUUUCUGCUUCAAAUAUUCCCUUUUCAGUUCUUGAAUCUUCUCAAAUAUUUGGGUCCUGGACACCUCCGCCAAUGACCCAUUUCUCAAGAACGGAUAAAAUUCCUCCCGACUAAUGUUCUUCGUAUUGAACUCGACCAGCUUCUUCAGUAGAUUUAGCUCUUCCCCUUUACUCCAUUCAAACAAACUCUUCCUCCUUUUCUUCUUUCCUGAUCCCGUUGACCUCUUUCUUCCCUCCUUCCCCUCUUCCAUAUCGUCAAUCUCACCCUACUCAAAUCUCUAAACAUCGAGUCACAAUAAAUUGCAUAAUAUCAAGACAUUGAGUAACGUUGAUAUAUUUGUGUGUGUGCGCGUGUGUUACAUAUUUCAACAUCACCCAUAGUCUACUUUUGAGGUCCAUUAGGAGAUAGAAAAUUGCUUAUUCUCUCUUAAAAUUGCCUUUUUUUCUUUUCUUGCAGAAGCAAUGGUUUAUAAAUUGAAGUAUAAAAAAUGGAGCAUUAGGUGUCACAUCGGGUUUACCCAGAUCUACUACACGUGUGACGAAACGAACCCUAUGAUGAGUAGCAAUAAGACUGUUGUACACAGACGUGCGAUUGCGACCCACAGGAAAGUGACGCAGCUGUGUCAGCACCCACAAGAAGACCCGUGACGGCGGAGGCGAUGAACAGCUGAGAGCACUCACUAUUCAUUCAGUAAAAGGAGAAGUGGAUUUGGGAACCUUUUUAUAAAAGAAUGUGAUUUAAAAAAGUAGGUAAAAAAUAACUAUGGAAAAAAAAUAAAUUUGGGCAAGUUGAAGGCCACGACUUCGAUGGCUGUGUGGGUCCUGCACUUUUUUUCAUUCAUUAUUUAUAUAUAAUUUAUAUUAUAUGUGGGCCUACGUCUUGUUCUUUUUCAUUAUUUUAUAUAUAUAUAAUCUCGGUUCUAAAAAUAUCAUUACUUAUUAAAAUUAUUAUCAACUUUUCAAUUUUAUUUAUUUUUUCUUUUUUUAUAUAUUAAAUAUCUUAA